GUGGGAAGUUUUUGCCAUUUGGGAAGCUGGCAUCCGUGUUUUGGAGGAAAGCAUUGCCUUUAUUUGAAAGUGUCUGCUGCCUCAGAUGCUGACCCUGCAGUCGAACUCGAUACUAAUGGUGAAGUGGAAGGCAUGCUGCUGGACGCCUGCCUUGCCAUAGCAGGUGCCGGUCACCUGUGACUCAGCGGUGCCCUGUGCCAGGUAUUCCCUACCCUCCUUUUAUAAUUUACUUUAUUUCCUUUCACAGUCUGGAUGAAUGCGGACGUACGCAGGCCCAGACAGAUAAAAGGAGAGUCAAGGAGAUAUAUACACAAAUACAGGGCCA
This 325-nucleotide long non-coding RNA is filed under the name Fukomys damarensis (Damara mole-rat). RNAcentral describes it as "lncRNA (ENSFDAG00000031823.1)". The record is from RNAcentral. Lineage: Eukaryota; Metazoa; Chordata; Mammalia; Rodentia; Bathyergidae.